GUUUGAUCCUGGCUCAGAGCGAACGUUAGCGGCAGGCUUAAACACAUGCAAGUCGAGCGACAAAGGGGCUUCGGGCCCUGAGUAGAGCGGCGGACGGGUGCGUAACACGUGGAUAAUCUGCCUCGUGGCGGGGGAUAACAGUCCGAAAGGACUGCUAAUACCGCAUGUCAGGUCGGAAACCCCGGUUUCUGACGAAAAAGAGGGCGCCCCGCAAGGGGCUCUCACCACGAGAUGAGUCCGCGGCCCAUCAGCUAGUUGGCGGUGUAAUAGACCACCAAGGCUAAGACGGGUAGCUGGUCUGAGAGGAUGACCAGCCACACUGGGACUGAGACACGGCCCAGACUCCUACGGGAGGCAGCAGUGGGGAAUAUUGGACAAUGGGCGAAAGCCUGAUCCAGCCAUGCCGCGUGAGUGAUGAAGGUCUUCGGAUCGUAAAGCUCUGUGGGAGGGACGAAAAAGGCCUAACCUAAUACGUUAGGUCUUGACGGUACCUCUUAGCAAGCACCGGCUAACUCCGUGCCAGCAC
This 526-nucleotide ribosomal RNA is filed under the name uncultured bacterium. RNAcentral describes it as "bacterial SSU rRNA". It matches the Rfam family "Bacterial small subunit ribosomal RNA", at positions 11 to 514 of the family's 1533-position model. The record is from RNAcentral.